Molecule: ribosomal RNA, 440 nt
Filed under: uncultured bacterium
Lineage: Bacteria
Description: partial 16S ribosomal RNA
Rfam family: Bacterial small subunit ribosomal RNA
Source: RNAcentral
CCUACGGGAGGCAGCAGUGGGGAAUAUUGCACAAUGGGGGAAACCCUGAUGCAGCGACGCCGCGUGAGUGAAGAAGUAUUUCGGUAUGUAAAGCUCUAUCAGCAGGGAAGAAAAUGACGGUACCUGUUUAAGAAGCCACGUCUAACUACGUGCCAGCAGCCGCGGUUAUACGUCGGGGGCAAGCGUUAUCCGGAUUUACUGGGUGUAAAGGGAGCGUAGACGGCAGCACCAGUCUGGAGGGAAAUGCUGGGGCUUAACCCCGGAACUGCUGUUGAAACUGGGCAGCUUGAGUGCAGGAGAGGGAAGUGGAAUUCGUGGUGUAGCGGUGAAAUGCGUAGAUAUUAGGAGGAACACCGGUGGCGAAGGCGGCUUACUGGACUGUAACUGACGUUGAGGCUCGAAAGCGUGGGGAGCAAACAGGAUUAGAUACCCCGGUAGUC